GCAACAGCAGGAGAAACCGUGAGCUCCCAAGAGGGCAAGGGUCUCUGAUGCAUGUGUUCCAGCCUCCAGGGGAGACAUUUCCCACCUGUCACACCCCUCCAGCACAGGUUCACGGUUUUCCUCACUCUGAGGCACAUGGAGUGUAACAACUUGCCUAAGGCUACCGCCUGCUCAGGCCACCGAGUCCUGUCUACCCCGGAUUCUAAGGAUCGUGAUCGUGCUUGGUGCACAAGACUCAUGACACACAGAAGCCCUUAACAUGCCGUACACGUGGUUGUGUGUGUUCAUGCACAGAUGCAUAGCCCAUCUUUGAGGAUAUAGGCACUGACCUGGCAGGAGAGCAGCCACCAUGGCCAGAGAGAGCAGACAGGCCUGAGGAGCCACUGUGACCAACCCGUCUGAGCGUCCUCACUGACACACGUCUUCUCGGGAGCUGUGGUGAGGCCUGUGGACUCUACAAGCAGUGUGGCAGCUGGCUGAGCUGGGAGCUCCUACCCCAGCAGCCUGGCACAGGACAAAAGAUGCAGGCACUGGAGACCUGGCUUCUAACCCUACUCCUGCCACUUCCUCGUAGUGUGCCUUGGGGCGAUCAAUUAAAGACUCGCAACCUGCGAUGGGUAAUUUCAAAAUAUGUCCACAAAUUCUCUGAUGUUCUUUGCUUCAGGAGGUGGAGCCCAGUUCCCCACCAUUUGAGUGUGCACCAGGCUUAGUGACUUGCUUGUAACUAAUAGAAAAAGACAGAAGUGACAGUGUGCAGCUUCAGAGACCUAGUCAUAAAAGGCACUGUGGCUUCCUGCCUGGCCCCUCUCUUGCCCUUGGACCACCCGCUCUGGAGAAGCUAGCUGCCACAUCACGAAGAAAGGCCUGCCUGUGAAGAACUGAAGCUUCCAUCCAACAAACAUAUGAGGGCGCCAUAUUGGAAUGGAUCCUCCAGCUGCCCACAACCCCAACCUCAUGGGAAACCUUGAAGGGGAACCUCCUGAUUACACCGCCCCUGAAUUCUUGACCCAGGGAAAUGCUAAAAUGGCUCAUUGACUUGUUAUUUGCCUGAAGCUCACUCUCUCAAGGGCACCUCUGGAGUCCAGGGGCUAGAAUGCUAUGCAGCACCCAAGAGACAUUUGAUGAACAUUUGUGGACAAUGUGGCUUUUUGAACAUCAAUCAAAGUCCCUUUUGAAAGCUUUGGGGGCAGCUUUCUUUACAGAGAGCCACUCUGGAAAACCCUGCCAUAAAGGGAAUAAAUGACCUUCAGGCUUUCUAAUAGUGUAUUAUACCUGCAUCAUGAUCAUUUUAAUCCAGGAAGGGUCUUGUUAGGGAUUUUAAAACAAACACUGGUGUUCUAGG
Canis lupus familiaris (dog) is the source of this 1342-nucleotide long non-coding RNA. RefSeq lists it as uncharacterized. The transcript is spliced from 4 exons. Lineage: Eukaryota; Metazoa; Chordata; Mammalia; Carnivora; Canidae. The record is from RefSeq and is a predicted model, not a curated record.